This is a long non-coding RNA of Engraulis encrasicolus (European anchovy), 1050 nucleotides long. RefSeq lists it as uncharacterized. The record is from RefSeq and is a predicted model, not a curated record. NCBI's taxonomy places the organism in Eukaryota, Metazoa, Chordata, Actinopteri, Clupeiformes, Engraulidae. The transcript has 3 exons.
AGAUAAAAGAAAAGAAAAAAUAAGCGUCGCCGAAUUGGCUAAAAUUACCUAAUGUUAAAAUGAUUGUGCUGGAUACUCCACAGUCCACACUGGCGCAGAUUUAAUAAUGUACAAAACCUUAUUGUAUUCUGCGCCACUAGAUGGCAUAUUGGGGCAUACGGAUCCUGGGAGGAGAAGAAGAAGAAGUGCAUGUUGUUGCUGCUAGCUAGCUACGUACUCACUCUGCCUGCGGUGGAUUGUUUUAUUCCGUGUCAAUUUAAAACUACUUCAGUAAAUGUAUUAACUUUACACCGAGCCUCUUCAUUGCCUACUGCAAAACAACUUUUUGCACCAGUUCGUCACUGAUGGCUUAUCAACGCGGCGGCAUCCUCAUCAUGGCACAGGUUCAUCAGAGUCAGGUGGUCAGCACCCAAACUAAAACCAUGGGUCAUGGUGAAGAAGGAUGAGAGACUGUUCUAUGUGCCCAGGGUUCGUCAGGAUGGUGUCUAAGAAUUACAUCCUAGCAGCACAGAACAGGAAGCCAUCGUGAAGAAGUUGCCGGAGAGGCUUCGCUUGGCCUUUACCAGCACCUCACUAUCAGUGAUGCUGGUCUCCUUAUCCACCGUGCCUACCCCCACAUUCCUCCCUUGAUGCAUUCAUCUCCUGACCUGUACCUGUUGUGGGCUGAGUCAGUGAUGACACACAGUUGUGAUAAUAACAUACAUGUAUAUGAAAUAACUGAAAUGAUGUCCGUCCAGGCAUUUCCUUUGGUAUUUUAUUGUACACAACUCAGAACAUGUUCCCUGUCUGUCUAUAUUGAGUCUAGCCUAAAACUAAUUACUUUAGUUCUAUUGUCUCCAGCAUAUGUACGUAAUCUACGUAUCCAGUUACAUGGGUAUUUUGGUGCCUGGAUUAGACUGCAUGUAAGUAAUAAUAUGAACUCAGGUCAGGAUACCACAGUAGUUCAGAUAACCAUUCAUUAAUAUAAAAUGCACAUGUUUUGUAUAGGCCUAUGUCCAUCCCAGGAUAGACAUCCCCUCGUAUCACCUUUGUAACUAAAAUACAUUUGUA